This 253-nucleotide ribosomal RNA is filed under the name uncultured bacterium. RNAcentral's name for it is "partial 16S ribosomal RNA". It matches the Rfam family "Bacterial small subunit ribosomal RNA", at positions 524 to 776 of the family's 1533-position model. The record is from RNAcentral.
CACGGGGGGAGCAAGCGUUGUUCGGAAUCACUGGGCGUAAAGGGCGUGUAGGCGGCCUUUUAAGUCCUGCGUGAAAUCCUGCGGCUCAACCGCAGACGGUCGUGGGAAACUGGAAGGCUAGAGUGAGGGAGAGGAGAGUGGAAUUCCCGGUGUAGCGGUGAAAUGCGCAGAUAUCGGGAAGAACACCCGUGGCGAAGGCGGCUCUCUGGAACGCAACUGACGCUGAGACGCGAAAGCGUGGGGAGCAAACAGG